This is a long non-coding RNA of Pipistrellus kuhlii (Kuhl's pipistrelle), 252 nucleotides long. RefSeq lists it as uncharacterized. Lineage: Eukaryota; Metazoa; Chordata; Mammalia; Chiroptera; Vespertilionidae. The record is from RefSeq and is a predicted model, not a curated record. The transcript has 3 exons.
GGUUCCAGCUCUUUAAAAGGGGCCAGCCCUCUGCAUACCCAUAGGCCUUUGCAAACCCCCAGCCCACAUUGCCUGUAAACUGCCCAUUUUACACACCCGUUCUUAUCCCUUUUGCCUGCUUCCCUAUGGAAUCUUUGUCCUUCUACCCGAUACAAGCAGCUGGCUUAUAGUGGGGCAGCAGGAUGACCUGCUGCUCUCCCAUACUGCCAGCAGUAUUGGAAUAGACGUUCAUAUAUGAUUCGACCCUGUCUC